RNAcentral lists this ribosomal RNA (816 nucleotides) under Triticum aestivum (bread wheat). Its description in RNAcentral is "partial small subunit ribosomal RNA". The record is from RNAcentral. Lineage: Eukaryota; Viridiplantae; Streptophyta; Magnoliopsida; Poales; Poaceae.
AUGAGAAGAAACUUCUUGUGGAAUGCCGAUGAGGAGGCUCACGGUGGGAAGUGCCUGGUAAACUGGAGACGCAUUUGUGCGCCAAAGUCUGUUGGUGGACUAGGCAUCAAAGACCUUGCCGCUUUCAGCAGAGCACUGAGACUGAGAUGGGCUUGGUUUGAGUGGGAUAACCAUGAUAGACCAUGGAAAGGGACACCGACUCCAUGUGAUAGUUCUAAUAUGCAACUCUUCAAAUCUUGCACAAAAAUAUCCAUUGGCAACGGCUCACGAGCCUUUUUUUUGACUGAUGGAUGGAUGGAUGGAGUUGCUCCGAGGGAGGUGGCGCCCCAGCUGUUUUCCCUCACCCGUCAUAAGCACACCACGGUCGCUGAUGCUCUUCAGGAAGGAAAAUGGAUGAUGGGACUGCAGCGAUUGAACUCAGUCGAGAUGCUUCACUCCUUCGUCCUCCUUUGGCGCCAGAUCCAGCAAGUCCAGCUCGGCAGUGCCACGGAUGAGAUUAGGUGGACCCUAUGUGCUAAUGGGAUUUACUCUGCCAAGUCGGCGUAUACACAACAAUUCAUCACAAGACUACCAAUGCCCCGCCUGCUAAAUGUAUGGAGGAUUAGGAGCGAGUCAAGAAUAAAAUUCUUUGUGUGGACCUUGCUCCAAAAUAGACUCUGGACGGCUGACAGGUUGCUUAGAAGAGGUUGGAAACAUCAGGAUAUGUGUUGUGCUUGCGCUCAGGUUCUCGAAUCGGCUGACCACACAUUGGCGUCAUCGUCGUAUGAAAUUCACGCACAAAGGGCGCCGCAUCACUCUCAAUGGCAUUCCAGAUAA